UGGGGAAUUUUGGACAAUGGGGGAAACCCUGAUCCAGCCAUCCCGCGUGUGCGAUGAAGGCCUUCGGGUUGUAAAGCACUUUUGGCAGGAAAGAAACGUCGCGGGUUAAUACCCCGCGGAACUGACGGUACCUGCAGAAUAAGCACCGGCUAACUACGUGCCAGCAGCCGCGGUAAUACGUAGGGUGCAAGCGUUAAUCGGAAUUACUGGGCGUAAAGCGUGCGCAGGCGGUUCGGAAAGAAAGAUGUGAAAUCCCAGAGCUUAACUUUGGAACUGCAUUUUUAACUACCGGGCUAGAGUGUGUCAGAGGGAGGUGGAAUUCCGCGUGUAGCAGUGAAAUGCGUAGAUAUGCGGAGGAACACCGAUGGCGAAGGCAGCCUCCUGGGAUAACACUGACGCUCAUGCACGAAAGCGUGGGGAGCAAACAGGAUUAGAUACCCUGGUAGUCCACGCCCUAAACGAUGUCAACUAGCUGUUGGGGUCUUCGGACCUUGGUAGCGCAGCUAACGCGUGAAGUUGACCGCCUGGGGAGUACGGUCGCAAGAUU
This 547-nucleotide ribosomal RNA is filed under the name uncultured bacterium. Its description in RNAcentral is "partial 16S ribosomal RNA". It matches the Rfam family "Bacterial small subunit ribosomal RNA", at positions 355 to 895 of the family's 1533-position model. The record is from RNAcentral.